Molecule: ribosomal RNA, 495 nt
Filed under: uncultured soil bacterium
Lineage: Bacteria
Description: bacterial SSU rRNA
Rfam family: Bacterial small subunit ribosomal RNA
Source: RNAcentral
GGAACGAACGUUAGCGGCGCGCUUAACACAUGCAAGUCGAGCGAGAAAGGGCUUCGGCCCCGGUAAAGCGGCGCACGGGUGAGUAACACGUAGGUAAUUUGCCCUCGGGUGGUGGAUAACUUUCCGAAAGGAAAACUAAUACAGCAUGAGACCACGAUUCCGAAAGGGAUUGAGGUCAAAGCCGGCCAAUAUACAUAAGCUGGCGCCUGAGGAUGAGCCUGCGGCCCAUCAGCUAGUUGGUAGGGUAAUGGCCUACCAAGGCGAAGACGGGUAGCUGGUCUGGGAGGAUGAUCAGCCACACUGGAACUGAGACACGGUCCAGACUCCUACGGGAGGCAGCAGUGGGAAUCUUGCGCAAUGGGCGAAAGCCUGACGCAGCGACGCCGCGUGAGUGAUGAAGGCCUUCGGGUGUAAAGCUCUGUGGAGGGGACGAAUAAGGGCUGGCUAAUAUCCAGUCUGAUGACGUACCCUUAGCAAGCACCGGCUAACUCUGUG